This 482-nucleotide ribosomal RNA is filed under the name uncultured bacterium. Its description in RNAcentral is "bacterial SSU rRNA". It matches the Rfam family "Bacterial small subunit ribosomal RNA", at positions 29 to 506 of the family's 1533-position model. The record is from RNAcentral.
UUGAACGCUGGCGGCAUGCUUUACACAUGCAAGUCGAACGGCAGCGGGGGCUUCGGCCUGCCGGCGAGUGGCGAACGGGUGAGUAAUGCAUCGGAACGUACCCAGUCGUGGGGGAUAACUACGCGAAAGCGUAGCUAAUACCGCAUACGCCCUGAGGGGGAAAGCGGGGGAUCGCAAGACCUCGCGCGAUAGGAGCGGCCGAUAUCGGAUUAGCUUGUUGGUGAGGUAAAGGCUCACCAAGGCGACGAUCCGUAGCUGGUCUGAGAGGACGACCAGCCACACUGGAACUGAGACACGGUCCAGACUCCUACGGGAGGCAGCAGUGGGGAAUUUUGGACAAUGGGGGCAACCCUGAUCCAGCCAUUCCGCGUGAGUGAAGAAGGCCUUCGGGUUGUAAAGCUCUUUCAGCCGGAAAGAAAUCGCGCAGGCUAAUACUCUGCGUGGAUGACGGUACCGGAAGAAGAAGCACCGGCUAACUACGU